CGCCCUUUUAUGAUUGGAAAAGAGUGUAAAGCAACAUGGCUAAGCCCAUGCAGGCAAACCCAUGUAGGCAAGAAAUAGAAGACAUCACCAACAAAAAGACAACAUGUACAGAAAGCAGCAUAACCUCGAGGUUUGAAGAGGACAGCUGACAGGAUUCCAGACAACCCAAACGACAAGAAACAGUCAGCCAGGCAGCAACAUGAAGAGGACAACAGGCCGCCCAUCAGUAAAAAUAGGAUAGCAAAACGACCAGCCAGUCAAGCAUGCAUCCCUGGGACACCACCACUUGAAACACACAGGCACACAGACAAAGGAAACAGAACAUUUUGAAGAGCGUCACAAGAAAAGAUAUAACCUCCACGUAACCACGAUGCAGUGCAACUGUUGAGUCGUCGAAACUUCAGUGCACGAAAACUCUGAAGAGAAAACAAUACACGCAGACAAACGGAGUCUUUUUCUCGGAAGGGAACAUUCAUAUACACACAGGAACACAAAUACAGCUACAGGCACUACAGGCAAAAAAGGAACUACAUUGCACAGCAUUUCUAAAAAGCAUCAGAAGACGAAGCUAAGAAGGCCAGGAUACAGAUUGAUGAUCCUGCAUGAAUACUCAAGAGGGUAAACACGAGACACACAGACAUUGCCAAAGAGCGAUUUUCAUCAUUUACUAUACAUAAAAAACAACAACAAUGAUCUCAGCCAAACAGACAUUCAAUCCCGGGGACACACGAACACAUGGAAACAAGUCACCUACAUCAUCGUCAUCAUCAAUCAUUCCAUAGCUUGGCACGACUAAAUAUGACUCACGACAGCCAAUGGCAAUUGCCCAGUAUCACCUUUCUUGGGAUCGAUUUUUGUGCUACUGUAUUUAAGAACAAUCCAUCAGAUACCUCAGUGAUCUACACACACAUCCACACAGUCAACUGCAGCAAACCAACAACCAUAUAUUGCAUGCAAACGUCCAUCACAUGGAAUCUAUCUUCAAUCAGCAAACGACCAAUGGUCACCGAUGUUCAACACACAUCCAGAAGAAAACAACACACAAAAAUACCAUUUCCAGUGGUAAUCACUAACUACAUGUUGCAGGAACACAACUUCUGCCAAUUGUAACAGGUCUGUAUCUAUAAUUACCAAGUAAUUCACCAUGUUCAUCACUACAUUUGAUUUGCACAGUUACAUACCAAUUAACAAUGUUCUUGGCAACAAAAGCACUCAUCCAAACAGCAUCUACGUACGUAUACUGCACCAACAUGCACGUACAGCGGAUACGCACCACUUCAGAUACGGAUAUACCAUUUAGUGUCCACACAUUUGUACAGACUUGUUCAUCAUACAGGUAAGUCCCUCACCUACAUUUCAUCUGUCACUGCACAUGUAAUACCAUAAAUAUCAACGAUUGCACCUUCACCAAGUCACUCAUGAUCAUGUAACAUGUAAACAUAAUGCACACUCCUUGAUACUGGUUGUGUGUUAGUCACCUUAUUAUCUUCACAGCACUUGUGCCAUUAUUCUCAGUAACACUUUAACGCCAUGUCACUCAUGCAAUCAGCAUACAAAACAUAGCACACACUUCUUAAUGAAAGUAGAUGCUAUUACAAUAUCACAACAAUAUAAUUCAAUUGCAUUGCAGUUGUAGGCUACCUAUGGCAUAUAACUCAUUAUAACAAAUGGUCAUCCUGAUAUAUGUACAUGUAGCACACACACACAAACAGUGUUAUGAUAGCUCCUUCCAACACCGUCAAUUUAAUAGUAAUUCUUUACAAAAGAUAAACUGCUAGUAUUGUACGUUUUAAUUUUUAACAGUCAUUCACAACACAUUCAUCACAAAACAGACAUUUUCGUUCACUACACUUUCAGAUCACCACCACAACACUACAGCCACGACACCUCCAACCACCUACCAACAACCUACCACCAUCUUAUGUCCGCACUCUGGAAGGAAUACAAGACACGUAAACAAUACUAAAACAACGACAAAACAAACCAUCAACAGAGACUAAAAACAUCUCAACCAAUCAGGAACACAUGACACCUGGAACAACGACAUAAAAACACGACAAUAAACUAUUUACACCUCGUCCUCUUGUGUCUGAUGCAACAAAACAUAACUGCCAAUGAUCAUCACUUAGCAACAUCUGCAACUUUCAUCAUCAUCAACAUCUUCCCUUGAUCUGUUUAUGUGUUUGUAUGCACUCCAUUUCCAUGUUGACACACGGAUCAGGUCCACAACAUUGACACCUAACAAUCAUUGCAUCAUCUACAGUCAGCACACUUUCCAAUGGAAUACAAGACACGUAAACAAUACCAUCACCAGUAUACGACUAAGUACCAAGAACAGUGCAUUCACCGACUUUAUCAGUACACGCAUGCUGGAUACUUACCACAUCCGACAUGGAUAUACCACACUGACAUUUGUAGGAUUAACUGCAGAAUGGUAAGUACACAGACAUUACAGCCCAUCAUUUCACACGUACAAACAACGCUGCUUCAUCACCAAUGACACAUACAUGGAAGCAACCGAGGUCGCUGCUGACGGGUGCCGAAAGAGUUGCUCGCAACAAAAUAUCCAACAGCUCUUCUCUAAUUCGCCUCAUACAUUACAUUACAACAUUUGUCGUACAUACAGGCAUAACUCAUUAACGAUUCACAUUCCUUCAAAAUAACACUCAAUACUGUAACACACCAAGCAACAGUUCCUAUCGACGCACACAUAUAAAUAUAAUUCAUACAUAGAUCCUUACAACAUACAACUUACACAGUGUUACUCAAAUCACAAAUAAAGAUGCAUUCAUUGCAAUUCAAAUACAUGUUUGGUCAUUCAUUGCAAUAGCAUGCAGCAUACAUGUGUAAAAUGAGAUAUAUACAUACAUGUACAAUAACACAUACACACACAUACAUACAUGUACAUACAAUAACACACAUAUAC
Branchiostoma belcheri (Belcher's lancelet) is the source of this 2926-nucleotide long non-coding RNA. RefSeq lists it as uncharacterized. The record is from RefSeq and is a predicted model, not a curated record. NCBI's taxonomy places the organism in Eukaryota, Metazoa, Chordata, Leptocardii, Amphioxiformes, Branchiostomatidae. The transcript has 5 exons.